AGUGGCGAACGGGUGAGUAACACGUGAGCAACCUGCCCUUGACACUGGGAUAAGCGAUCGAAAAGUCGUCUAAUACCGGAUAUGACUCUCACAGGCAUCUGUGAGGGUGGAAAUGCUCCGGCGGUCAAGGAUGGGCUCGCGGCCUAUCAGCUUGUUGGUGAGGUAACGGCUCACCAAGGCUUCGACGGGUAGCCGGCCUGAGAGGGCGACCGGCCACACUGGGACUGAGAUACGGCCCAGACUCCUACGGGAGGCAGCAGUGGGGAAUAUUGCGCAAUGGGCGAAAGCCUGACGCAGCAACGCCGCGUGCGGGAUGACGGCCUUCGGGUUGUAAACCGCUUUCAGCAGGGACGAAGGGUUUCUGACGGUACCUGCAGAAGAAGCCCCGGCUAACUUCGUGCCAGCAGCCGCGGUAAUACGAAGGGGGCUAGCGUUGCUCGGAUUGACUGGGCGUAAAGGGCGCGUAGGCGGUUUGUACAGUCAGGCGUGAAAUUCCUGGGCUCAACCUGGGGGCUGCGUUUGAUACGUGCAGACUUGAGUUCGGAAGAGGGUCGUGGAAUUCCCAGUGUAGAGGUGAAAUUCGUAGAUAUUGGGAAGAACACCGGUGGCGAANGCGGCGACCUGGUCCGAUACUGACGCUGANGCGCGAAAGCGUGGGGAGCAAACAGGAUUAGAUACCCUGGUAGUCCACGCCCUAAACGAUGUCAACUAGUUGUUGGGGAUUCAUUUCCUUAGUAACGUAGCUAACGCGUGAAGUUGACCGCCUGGGGAGUACGGUCGCAAGA
This 785-nucleotide ribosomal RNA is filed under the name uncultured Propionibacteriaceae bacterium. Its description in RNAcentral is "bacterial SSU rRNA". It matches the Rfam family "Bacterial small subunit ribosomal RNA", at positions 94 to 893 of the family's 1533-position model. Lineage: Bacteria; Bacillati; Actinomycetota; Actinomycetes; Propionibacteriales; Propionibacteriaceae. The record is from RNAcentral.